CCCUGGCCCACUGCGCAGACACAAACGUCCAUUCUCCACAGGGGCUGCGAAGCUCCCCGCUGGAGGGGAGAGCUGCAGGGGGAGAGGCCAGGGCUGCUACAAAGACCUGAUUGUGUGCUGGGGCCCGGAGCGCGCAGGGCCUGGGCAGCCGUGGCAGAGCCAACCUGAGCCGGCGGGGCAGCUGUGAGGGGCAGGGGCAGACUGAGGCCCACAGGAGAGGGGUGAAGGGGCCAGGCGGGCUUGGAGGCCGUGGAGGGGCCUGCCCCCUCUCACUGGGCACCCUGUUCUGCAGCCCACCAGGAUUAGGGGCGUUCUGGAGGAAACGGGUGCAGCCUGGCCCUUUGGGGACAAGGAAUCCUCCGUAUGGGGGCCGGGGGGUGGGGCAGCCAGCCUCACUCACCUUUGAAGGCUGAGAGCUUUUCUGGCAGGUCCUCUUCAUCGCUGUAUUUCUGGUCACAGAGAAACUCCUACAGAGGCGAGAGGGCAGAGCUGAGCAAGGGGGCGGCAGGCAGGACUGGCCCGUAGGAGGCCCAGUGCCCCGGCCUCCUCUCCCGCCAGGCCAGACGUGCACGUGCGAGUCCAGCCCCCGCGGAAGAAGUGGGCUCAGAAGCUGGGCGGGGCCUGGAGGGUCUGCUCCAGAAGAUGGAACACCUUCAACCACACGGGAUCAUCGGCGCAGGGACCUGCCUCCCCCAGGGGACGCCGCUGUGGGGUCCCGGAAGCAGUGAGCCCGAAGACGAGCCGCCUGGUUCCACAGUAACUGCUCAGCUUUGGAGGGACCGCAGUGUACACUGUGUGCCAGGCAGCAAGGGAGCAGGUGAGACCAAGGUCGAUGCUCAACCACAGCCACGCUUGCUGGGCAACUCCACAUUUCUACACGGCUUUCUCCCUCGCCUCCUUCAAGCCUUUGCUCAACUGUCACCUUCUGAAUGAGGCCGGCCCGUCCACCCCACUGCAGCCCCUGCCUCCACUUCCAACCACCUUACCUUCCGGGGCGUCUCCUUCUAUUCCAUGGGAUGAAUCCCCUCCUAACACAAUGUAAUUGCUUAUUAAAGGUAUUGUCCAUCGUGUCUCCCCCUGU
Molecule: long non-coding RNA, 1081 nt
Organism: Myotis myotis
Lineage: Eukaryota; Metazoa; Chordata; Mammalia; Chiroptera; Vespertilionidae
Exons: 3
Source: RefSeq, a predicted model, not a curated record